Molecule: ribosomal RNA, 492 nt
Filed under: uncultured bacterium
Lineage: Bacteria
Description: partial 16S ribosomal RNA
Rfam family: Bacterial small subunit ribosomal RNA
Source: RNAcentral
AGUGAACGCUGGCGGUAGGCCUAACACAUGCAAGUCGAACGGCAGCACAGUAAGAGCUUGCUCUUACGGGUGGCGAGUGGCGGACGGGUGAGGAAUACAUCGGAAUCUACUUUUUCGUGGGGGAUAACGUAGGGAAACUUACGCUAAUACCGCAUACGACCUACGGGUGAAAGCAGGGGAUCUUCGGACCUUGCGCGAUUGAAUGAGCCGAUGUCGGAUUAGCUAGUUGGCGGGUUAAAGGCCCACCAAGGCGACGAUCCGUAGCUGGUCUGAGAGGAUGAUCAGCCACACUGGAACUGAGACACGGUCCAGACUCCUACGGGAGGCAGCAGUGGGGAAUAUUGGCCAAUGGGCGCAAGCCUGAUCCAGCCAUACCGCGUGGGUGAAGAAGGCCUUCGGGUUGUAAAGCCCUUUUGUUGGGAAAGAAAAGCAGCAGGUUAAUACCCCGCUGUUCUGACGGUACCCAAAGAAUAAGCACCGGCUAACUUCGUG